UGAUUCCAAGUUUUGUCGUGACUGAUGC
This 28-nucleotide small RNA is filed under the name Bombyx mori (domestic silkworm). RNAcentral's name for it is "ovarian small RNA-8401". The record is from RNAcentral. Lineage: Eukaryota; Metazoa; Arthropoda; Insecta; Lepidoptera; Bombycidae.